GCUCCCGUGGUGGAACUGGCAGACACACCGCACUCAAAAUGCGGCGCCUCGGGCAUGCGGGUUCGAAUCCCGCCGGGAGCACCA
RNAcentral lists this transfer RNA (84 nucleotides) under Actinomyces sp. RNAcentral's name for it is "tRNA-Leu". It matches the Rfam family "tRNA". From Rfam's summary of the family: Transfer RNA (tRNA) molecules are approximately 80 nucleotides in length. Lineage: Bacteria; Bacillati; Actinomycetota; Actinomycetes; Actinomycetales; Actinomycetaceae. RNAcentral also lists the same sequence under 4 other names. The record is from RNAcentral.